CCUACGGGAGGCUGCAGUGAGGAAUAUUGGUCAAUGGACGAGAGUCUGAACCAGCCAAGUAGCGUGAAGGAUGACUGCCCUAUGGGUUGUAAACUUCUUUUAUAUGGGAAUAAAAUGUUCCACGUGUGGGAUUUUGUAUGUACCAUAUGAAUACGGAUCGGCUAACUCCGUGCCAGCAGCCGCGGUAAUACGGAGGAUCCGAGCGUUAUCCGGAUUUAUUGGGUUUAAAGGGAGCGUAGGUGGAUUGUUAAGUCAGUUGUGAAAGUUUGCGGCUCAACCGUAAAAUUGCAGUUGAAACUGGCAGUCUUGAGUACAGUAGAGGUGGGCGGAAUUCGUGGUGUAGCGGUGAAAUGCUUAGAUAUCACGAAGAACUCCGAUUGCGAAGGCAGUUCACUGGACUGCAACUGACACUGAGGCUCGAAAGUGUGGGUAUCAAACAGGAUUAGAUACCCUAGUAGUC
RNAcentral lists this ribosomal RNA (460 nucleotides) under uncultured bacterium. RNAcentral's name for it is "partial 16S ribosomal RNA". It matches the Rfam family "Bacterial small subunit ribosomal RNA", at positions 338 to 795 of the family's 1533-position model. The record is from RNAcentral.